UACGUAGGGUGCGAGCGUUGUCCGGAAUUACUGGGCGUAAAGAGCUUGUAGGUGGUUUGUCGCGUUGUUCGUGAAAUCUCACGGCUUAACUGUGAGCGUGCGGGCGAUACGGGCAGACUAGAGUACUGCAGGGGGAGACUGGAAUUCCUGGUGUAGCGGUGGAAUGCGCAGAUAUCAGGAGGAACACCGGUGGCGAAGGCGGGUCUCUGGGCAGUAACUGACGCUGAGAAGCGAAAGCGUGGGGGAGCGAACAGG
Molecule: ribosomal RNA, 255 nt
Filed under: uncultured bacterium
Lineage: Bacteria
Description: partial 16S ribosomal RNA
Rfam family: Bacterial small subunit ribosomal RNA
Source: RNAcentral